AUUGGGAGACUUCUUGAUGACCUCCGUCUGUGGGAACAGUACCAAGAAAGCUUCUUGACUGAAACCUUCGCAUGUUUAUUCCUUCUUUCGUCUUCUCGAUUCCUCAAUUUUUUGCUUCUUUUAUCAGUUGACAAUUUUGUCCAUUUCUACUUUCCUCUUGCCGACUAAAACAAUUUUGCCAACUGAAGGUGAGGUGCCGAAGAAAAAUUUCCAUUCACUACUGGGUAUAUCUUGGUUCAUUUUCUUCGUUGCUCUUCGCGAUACCGUGUGGUCCUAGAGUCCCCCGUGCUUCUCUGCAACAUGAAGGUUAGCUUCGGUAUGGUCUCUUGUUCCUUUCUCAGUUAUUAAUUAUGUUUGGCUGCCGAGAAAAUAAAAAUGGUCAGAAAGUGACGGAAGAUGAAAAAGGAACGAGCUUUCUGAAUCGUAGACCCUGUUUCUUAGCCCAAUUUAUCGCCGGCGUUUCGUCCCUAUGAAGAUUUAGCAGAUCAGAGUGCGGAUUCUUUUUUCUCUGAUUCGUUUUUUUGGUUUUUGAGUUGAGAUUCUUCAAUGAAAUUUCUGGGAUUCUGAUAUCAGCAAAAGGAAGGAGAGAUUGAGAGUUUUUACUAACUCUUUUUUUUUUCUUUUUUUGCUUCUCUUAUGUGGCGUUUGGAGCCAGAGAAAAUCAAAACAAGCCUAGAAAAGUGAUAAUUCUAUCAGUUCGUAUCGCAAAGAGCAUCACAAGGAUGUACAUGAUGAAAUGUGCUAAAGGAGAGUGUUUUGAACACGGACAUCUUAGUUGAUAUGGAAACAUUGAGUUGAGCCCUGCUGCUGGAGUUCCAAAAUUAUGGGCAGGGACAAUUUGAAGGCACAAAAGGAUACAUGAGUGAAGAUACUUCCAUCCAGAACAGAAUGCAAUUCGCAUGAAAAUGGAGACUGAAACAAUGUGCAUGCCAUCACCCUCCAUUAAUCAAUUUGUAAAUGUUGUGAAGCAAACAGCCAUAGCCAAUAAGCGUUGGGUAAUCUCGCUCUGUCUUGAAGAAAAUGCCCAAGACUUAUGCUGCAUUGACACUUCUAUUGUUUUCUGAGUUACUUUUGUCAGUGGAAGCUUAAACAUAUUUUUAAAUAUAUGAAUUUGUGGCAUUGAAUACGAACAGAGGUUCCUCUUGCGGGGAAAGGGUCUCUGUAUCUGAGGCCUCUGCUCAUGGGAAGUGGUCAAUUAUUGGGUGGGUGCAGCACCUAAAUAUGUAUUCCUCAUCUAUGUUUUCCCUGUUGGAAACUAUUUCAAGGUGGUUAUAUAUACACAUAUCUUUUUUUUUUUUUUUUUUUUUUUUUUUUUUUUUUUUUUUCUUUUGGGUUAAAUUGAUGCUUAAUUUAAAUCCUAUUAAUGAUAGAAUUCAUUAAGUCCAUUUCUUUCGUGUCUUGGGAAUGAGGAAUCAUAAUUCUUGGAGAUUUCAAAUUACUUGACUUUCUUUUUCGGCAUGGACUUUUCAUCCUCUUUUUUUUGUGAUCUCGUUUUCUUUCUGAGUGGAGUAAAGAUUAUAACUUCUAUAUGCAAGAUAGUCACUAAUGCAUAUCUUUCUGGUAUUGAUUUGUAGCAAUUUACAUUUUUAAUUGAAAAUUUUAUAGGAGCUAAGAACUCUAGCAGUGGGGCAACACGGGAGGCAUGUGAACUCGAUUGAAAAAGUGAACAUGAGGAGUUUCAGCCUCUUAUUAAAUUCAAACGUGAUCAUGAGGCUGAUACUGUUUUCAACAUUCUUGAUCUACUGAUGUACAAGGGUGCAUAUUUGUUCAAGAAGAUACCAACAGAUUGUUAAGUUGCUGGAGAGUUCAACUAUCUGAAAGGGAGCUGCUAAAUUUUAAAUCUUCUGUGAAUGCUAAAUCUGAUAAUUUGAAUUGGCUUUCACUGUUUUAUGGUGAACAAAAGUAAAGGCAGAUAAUAACUGUAUAAUCUUGUUUGCCAACAAGUCAGAAAGUAGCUUGCCCACUACUCCAUGCAACUGCAACUCCUCAAAGAUGCGCUCAGUGGGAAUGGGAGAUCCAAAUUCUGCAGCAGGUCUAUGCAAAAUGGGAUUGAGAAAGGAGAGGAACCCCUAAUUUACUUGUGUGGUCAGUAUUAUAAGAUUAACGUUUAUUUUUAAUUUUCUCUAUAAAUUAUAUUGUGCAUGAUGGUGUGAAUCUUUUUUACGCAUGGCAUGUGAAGGCUAAGAUGUGGCAUUGAAAUGACGGGUUUCUUGUUUUGGGUAAACGUUACACAUGAUGUUCAUUUAUAGGUUGCGAAAUUUCAUUAUUUUCCCUUCUGCUAUGAAAUUUGUAAUAUCUGGGUAUUGAAUACAUGAAAAGGUUCGCAAUUUCUACAGGACUUUUUGUGGCUGUACAUGUAGACUGCUACUUUGGAGGAAUUGACUCAGAAUUUUACGAUGCUUUCGUUUCCUAACUAUAAUGUUUUUUUUCACUAUUGAUACAUAUUCUUUUGCACUCCAAUAAAGUUGAUUCAGAAUUUUCUA
Carya illinoinensis is the source of this 2483-nucleotide long non-coding RNA. RefSeq lists it as uncharacterized. The record is from RefSeq and is a predicted model, not a curated record. NCBI's taxonomy places the organism in Eukaryota, Viridiplantae, Streptophyta, Magnoliopsida, Fagales, Juglandaceae. The transcript is spliced from 4 exons.